GUUCUUUUGGGAGUCUUCCUCAAAGGCAAAGGAAGAAUUCAAUGGAAGAAUGUAUGGCGGAAGCUCUUGCAAAACUUGCUCUCCAAGUUGAAAGAUGUGGAGUCACCUAAAAUAUCAUCAUCUGUGGCGAACAUUUGUUUGAAAGUUAAAAUGAUUCCAAUGAAUCAAUGAAGAAAUAGUAGAAUUCUUGCACCAGAUUGAUGAAAAAGAGGAGUUAUGUACAUCUAAGAAAAAUUGAGCUGGUUGUUCCAAGCACAUCCAGUAAAUGUAGAGGUGAGCAGCGGUUGGCCUGAAAGCACUGGUGAUGAAAGAAGCUGCAUCAUGUUUUCCUGGAAUUGCUGGUCCAGAAAGAUUCUCAACCGACGUGAUGUUAACAAGAGCUGUUGAUUGGAAAUUAUUUUGAUGCUCAAUAAAUAAAUCAUUUGCACUAUAGCAACA
This is a long non-coding RNA of Thamnophis sirtalis, 438 nucleotides long. RefSeq lists it as uncharacterized. The record is from RefSeq and is a predicted model, not a curated record. Lineage: Eukaryota; Metazoa; Chordata; Lepidosauria; Squamata; Natricidae.